AAAGACCAAACUUCUCUUCCUCUUACCUUAGCUCUGCCACCACCCUCCGCCACCGGCCGAAAAUUGCCUCUGCCGGCGGUGAUUCACCAAACUUCACCAAAAAUACACCAUAGCCUCCUCCUCUCUUCCUCUUUCCAAAUCUACAAUCGUUUUCCCUCAAAUCCUAGCCAAAUCCAUCGAAUCUUAAAUCAAACAAAGCGGUCAAACCCCAAAAUCCUCCAAACCUGACUUAAAUCACACCCCAUGGCCCCCUCGACCUCACCUUCCCAAAUCCCAAACCAAAACCCUUCAAAUACUCUUUGAACAUUUCGAAUUUUAGAUCUAGGAUUUAGGCAAAGUCGGAGUUGAGGAUUCAAGGGUUUGUGAGUAUUUAAAUGUUUCCAAAGUGAUAUUAUGUGAUUGUUUUGUUAAAGAAUAGACAUAUAAUAUUAUUUAGGGGUCAUAUAUGAAGUCAUUCAAGUAAAAAUCAAAUCUGAGUUUGAAGGUCAAGAUUCAAUCCUAGUUGGUAAGUCCUGGUGUCUUCCAUUCGUUUCUUUCUUCUCUUUCUUUCAUUAGGUGUAGGCUAGGGUUCUGAUUUGAACCCAGGAUUACUUCUUGAGAUUGUUCCCUGUUUAUCGUAGGUCCAUUUAGUUUUCGUUAAUACAUGUUUUAUGUCUUUAAUUUUGUUUCCUGUUUAACUACUUAGUUUUAUUAGUUUAGAUUGAUAAUUCGGUUAGUACUUUUGCCUGUUAUUUGAUUUUCUUUUGUUUGCUAGUAUUUGAUUUUUCUUUUGUUCUUUAUUCAUACUAUUUUUUUGUGUAAUUUUGUUCAUUUCAUAGUUUUUGGUUUGACUGAUAAUGAAUAGUAGUAGUUCAGUUAGUUAAUUCUGAUUAGAGUUUUGUUAUAAUUGGAUUUGGUUAUAGUUGAAUAAUUUGCAGGUUUUUUAAUUGAUCAUGGUUUAAUUUAAAAGGGCUAGGUUAGUUUUGACAUAGGAUAGUAAUUUUAGGGGCAAUUCAAGGUUAGUAUAGUAAGAAUUUCAGUAACUUAGUAGUGUUACUUGGCCAACAAGCCAAUAACUAAGGGAUUAAUUAGCUAAAAUUGAAAAUAAAAGAGGGAUCUAAGAGUGUAAAAUAAAAUCUGCAUGAUGCCUAUAAAGGGGCAGUCUACCCAGUUUAAGAAGUAAAGAUAGACUUGAAAUCCCAAAUCCAAAAAUAAAACCAAAAAAAUAUCUUAAACCUUGAAAGAUGAAAGCUAAUACUGAAAAUCAACAUAAAUCCUAUUGAAUCUUAGAGUUUCUGAGAUUUUAGAGUUCAAAUACUAGAUCUCCAAGCACUACUAGAUCUAAAAUUUCAGUAGUAAAAGUUUCAGAGGUUCUGGUGAUUAUUCGAAGUUUAAACUGGUUUAUUCAAGCUUGUUUAUGGGUGUUUACUGUUGUUGAUUUGUGUGAAAUUACUUCCUGGACUGUUUGACACCAUUUGCUGUGUUUGAAUUUUGUAUUAAGCUGUUGUUGACCGUUAUUUACUGGUGUUGACUCUUCUCUCUUCUUACAUCUCCUUACUUAUACAAUUACACAUUCUGA
RNAcentral lists this long non-coding RNA (1558 nucleotides) under Nicotiana benthamiana. RNAcentral describes it as "long non-coding RNA (NBEN_LNC033581)". The record is from RNAcentral. Lineage: Eukaryota; Viridiplantae; Streptophyta; Magnoliopsida; Solanales; Solanaceae.